RNAcentral lists this ribosomal RNA (460 nucleotides) under uncultured bacterium. RNAcentral's name for it is "partial 16S ribosomal RNA". It matches the Rfam family "Bacterial small subunit ribosomal RNA", at positions 338 to 795 of the family's 1533-position model. The record is from RNAcentral.
CCUACGGGGGGCAGCAGUGAGGAAUAUUGGUCAAUGGACGAGAGUCUGAACCAGCCAAGUAGCGUGAAGGAUGACUGCCCUAUGGGUUGUAAACUUCUUUUAUAUGGGAAUAAAAUGUUCCACGUGUGGGAUUUUGUAUGUACCAUAUGAAUAAGGAUCGGCUAACUCCGUGCCAGCAGCCGUGGGAAUACGGAGGAUCCGAGCGUUAUCCGGAUUUAUUGGGUUUAAAGGGAGCGUAGGUUGAUUGUUAAGUCAGUUGUGAAAGUUUGCGGCUCAACCGUAAAAUUGCAGUUGAAACUGGCAGUCUUGAGUACAGUAGAGGUGGACGGAAUUCGUGGUGUAGCGGUGAAAUGCUUAGAUAUCACGAAGAACUCCGAUUGCGAAGGCAGUUCACUGGACUGCAACUGACACUGAGGCUCGAAAGUGUGGGUAUCAAACAGGAUUAGAUACCCUUGUAGUC